AUCUUUAGACAUGAGAUUUAUUUCAGAACCAUGGUUGACUAAAGCAACUAUUGGUUCUUCUAUAUCUCCUACUUUCACCAAUACCUCAGUAGUUGCCCUUGCCCAAUGCUUUCGAGUAUAAUGGCACAAAGUUUCCAUUUCCUUGUCACUAGAAUCUUCAAAACGUACUCGUUGAUUAUACCCAUUCUUUUCAUUUGUUGGUUGCUUGUAACCAAUAUCAACCUCUUCUUCAUCUCUAUAUAUUCUUGCAUCAAUAGCAUGACUCAUUCUAGUUUCGCCCAUUAAUU
RNAcentral lists this long non-coding RNA (287 nucleotides) under Physcomitrium patens. Its description in RNAcentral is "long non-coding RNA (PPAT_LNC013497)". The record is from RNAcentral. Lineage: Eukaryota; Viridiplantae; Streptophyta; Bryopsida; Funariales; Funariaceae.